This 72-nucleotide transfer RNA is filed under the name Ovis aries (sheep). It matches the Rfam family "tRNA". Rfam says of the family: Transfer RNA (tRNA) molecules are approximately 80 nucleotides in length. Their secondary structure includes four short double-helical elements and three loops (D, anti-codon, and T loops). The record is from Rfam by way of RNAcentral. Lineage: Eukaryota; Metazoa; Chordata; Mammalia; Artiodactyla; Bovidae.
CCCCUGGUGGUCCAGUGGUUAGGACUCUGCGCUUCCAUUGCAAGGGCACAAGUUUGAUCCCUGGUCAGGGAA